AAAUCUUUAGGUCUAAUCCACUUGAAACCCUAAAACUAUAAAUGCAUCUCAUCUUCCACACAAGUAACCCUAGCCCCCUUCUACCCUUCACUGAUAUCUCUACAUCUCUCUACACUCCGGCAACCGGAGCCGAAGUCCGGCAAGCUCCGGCGACCCCCUCCUUCUCUCUGAUCAAGCACCACCAUCACCCUCCUCCUCCCUUUUUCACGCUCACACCUGGCCGACCACCUCCAUUUUGCGAAAACAGAACCUUCUUCACUGUGUACUUCCUCACGCCACCACUAUUCCUGAUUCGCUGAACCUUACACCCUCGCCACUCUCGAAGACACCUCUCGAAUAAGCGAACACGAAGCAAGACGACCGGAGACACCCGAAGAGUUCGCCGGAGUUCGAAGUUCGCUACAUCGGAAGUUCACGACAGAACCGCGUAACAUUCGUUUCGGGUAAUCGUGUUCGUUCUCUUGGAAUUCUCAAAUCUUUACUCGUGCAUUAUUUCGAGAAAUUCUCAUACGCAACCAACGAUGGUGAAGGAUAACAAGGGAAACGAGAAACAUCACCCCAUGCAUGAAAACAGGACUAUCCGACAAAAAAAUUUCUUCAUUACAGCAAGCUCAGCACGGCCCGUGUCCACCCGACACGGCCCCGUGCUGCACAAUCUGCAGAAAACGCCCAGUUCAGGUAACUGGACACGG
Long non-coding RNA from Helianthus annuus (common sunflower), 692 nucleotides. RefSeq lists it as uncharacterized. The transcript has 3 exons. The record is from RefSeq and is a predicted model, not a curated record. NCBI's taxonomy places the organism in Eukaryota, Viridiplantae, Streptophyta, Magnoliopsida, Asterales, Asteraceae.